Molecule: ribosomal RNA, 453 nt
Filed under: Arthrobacter sp.
Lineage: Bacteria; Bacillati; Actinomycetota; Actinomycetes; Micrococcales; Micrococcaceae
Description: bacterial SSU rRNA
Rfam family: Bacterial small subunit ribosomal RNA
Source: RNAcentral
CGUGCUUACACAUGCAGUCGAACGAUGAAGCCAGCUUGCUGGUGGAUUAGUGGCGAACGGGUGAGUAACACGUGAGUAACCUGCCCUUGACUCUGGGAUAAGCCUGGGAAACCGGGUCUAAUACUGGAUAUGACUGCCGGCCGCAUGGUCUGGUGGUGGAAAGCUUUAUUGCGGUUUUGGAUGGACUCGCGGCCUAUCAGCUUGUUGGCGGGGUAAUGGCCCACCAAGGCGACGACGGGUAGCCGGCCUGAGAGGGUGACCGGCCACACUGGGACUGAGACACGGCCCAGACUCCUACGGGAGGCAGCAGUGGGGAAUAUUGCACAAUGGGCGCAAGCCUGAUGCAGCGACGCCGCGUGAGGGAUGAAGGCCUUCGGGUUGUAAACCUCUUUCAGUAGGGAAGAAGCGAAAGUGACGGUACCUGCAGAAGAAGCGCCGGCUAACUACGUGCCA